RNAcentral lists this transfer RNA (63 nucleotides) under Ictidomys tridecemlineatus (thirteen-lined ground squirrel). RNAcentral's name for it is "Spermophilus tridecemlineatus (thirteen-lined ground squirrel) tRNA". It matches the Rfam family "tRNA", at positions 6 to 65 of the family's 71-position model. From Rfam's summary of the family: Transfer RNA (tRNA) molecules are approximately 80 nucleotides in length. Their secondary structure includes four short double-helical elements and three loops (D, anti-codon, and T loops). Lineage: Eukaryota; Metazoa; Chordata; Mammalia; Rodentia; Sciuridae. The record is from Rfam by way of RNAcentral.
UGUGGCUCAGUGGUAGAGCACUUGCCUGGCAUGUGUGAGAUGCACUGGGUUCGAUUCUCAGCA